RNAcentral lists this transfer RNA (44 nucleotides) under Camelus dromedarius (Arabian camel). Its description in RNAcentral is "partial tRNA-Phe". The record is from RNAcentral. Lineage: Eukaryota; Metazoa; Chordata; Mammalia; Artiodactyla; Camelidae.
CAAGGCGCUGAAAAUGCCUGGAUGGGCACCUAGCCCCAUAAACA